This 496-nucleotide ribosomal RNA is filed under the name uncultured bacterium. Its description in RNAcentral is "SSU rRNA". It matches the Rfam family "Bacterial small subunit ribosomal RNA", at positions 26 to 518 of the family's 1533-position model. The record is from RNAcentral.
AGAUUGAACGCUGGCGGCGUGCUUAACACAUGCAAGUCGAGCGGUAACGCGGGAGCAAUCCUGGCGACGAGCGGCGAACGGGUGAGUAAUGCUUGGGAAUCUGCCCAUUAGUGGGGAACAACCAGCCGAAAGGUUGGCUAAUACCGCAUACGCCCUACGGGGGAAAGCGGGGGAUCGAAAGACCUCGCGCUAAUGGAUGAGCCCAAGUCGGAUUAGCUUGUUGGUAGGGUAACGGCCUACCAAGGCGACAAUCCGUAGCUGGUCUGAGAGGACGACCAGCCACACUGGGACUGAGACACGGCCCAGACUCCUACGGGAGGCAGCAGUGGGGGAAUAUUGGACAAUGGGGGCAACCCUGAUCCAGCGACGCCGCGUGUGUGAAGAAGGCCUGCGGGUUGUAAAGCACUUUUAGUGGGGAUGAAAAGCUCAGGGUUAACACCUCUGGGUCUUGACCUAACCACAGAAAAGCACCGGCUAACUCUGCGCCAGCAGCCGC